RNAcentral lists this ribosomal RNA (253 nucleotides) under uncultured bacterium. RNAcentral's name for it is "partial 16S ribosomal RNA". It matches the Rfam family "Bacterial small subunit ribosomal RNA", at positions 524 to 776 of the family's 1533-position model. The record is from RNAcentral.
UACAUGUGGGGCAAGCGUUGUUCGGAAUUACUGGGCAUAAAGGGUGCGUAGGCGGCUUGCUAAGUCAGUGGUGAAAUCGUCCGGCCCAACCGGACACGUGCCAAUGAUACUGGUGAGCUUGAGUGCGUGAGGGGUAGGGGGAACGAGCAGUGUAGCGGUGAAAUGCGUAGAUAUUGCUCGGAAGGCCAAAGCCGAAGGGACCCUACUGGUGCGCAACUGACGCUGAGGCACGAAAGCGUGGGGAGCAAACAGG